This 253-nucleotide ribosomal RNA is filed under the name uncultured bacterium. Its description in RNAcentral is "partial 16S ribosomal RNA". It matches the Rfam family "Bacterial small subunit ribosomal RNA", at positions 524 to 776 of the family's 1533-position model. The record is from RNAcentral.
UACGGAGGGUGCGAGCGUUACUCGGAUUCACUGGGCGUAAAGGGUGCGCAGGCGGUUAAUUGUGUCAGGUGUGAAACCCCAGAGCUUAACUCUGGAACUGCGCCUGAAACUGAUUGACUAGAGGCUCGGAGAGGUAAGCGGAAUUCCAGGAGUAGCGGUGAAAUGCGUAGAUAUCGGAAGGAACACCAGUGGCGAAGGCGGCUACCUGGCCCAAUACUGACACUGAGGCACGAAAGCGUGGGGAGCAAACAGG